ACACCUCCGAUCUGCUUCAACACUCACUGGGGAGGGGGGUAUCCUGGUCCUUCCUGGGGGUGCCAACCAUACCUCGGGGGCCCUGUUCCGAAUCCCUGCCCCCUAUAGGGACUAGGUGUAGAACAGAAAGGUCUGAGCAUAGCCAAAAAUGCCAAAAAGUGUGGCAAACAAGCCCCACUGAAGGCACGUGUCAGAACAAGGGCACUGUUGGGCCAGGAUCCUGAUUUUCAGGAGGGGGUGUCAUCGGGCAACUGAGCAGCACGUGUCCGGGACAGAAGCGAUGGGGGGGCCUUGGUGGCCCUCAGUGUGCACCCAGAAGGUGACCACCCUACAAGAAAACUAACCUUAAACUGAAAGUGUCCUUUGCAAAGCCAGGCAGCAUGCAGCCAUUUCACAACCAAAGGAGUGACAAGUACAGAAGAGGCUCUGAUCUUCCUCAUGACUUCACUGGACCCUGCGGGGCUUGGCCCGGCUCUCAGUGGAGCCAUUUAGACCUCGCCGGUUCUGUCCAGAUCGACCUGCUGCCAGCUCUAAAGAGGAUGGCUCCCCACACUGUGCACCGUGGACCUGGAUGGGCUCCCGGGCCCUGCCGGGUCGUACCGUAUCAGGCGCUUUGAGGCCAUGUUGAGGGGGAGGCCGCUGACUGUGUUCCCGCUGGUGCCGUUAAUCCGCAUGGCUUGUGUCUCUCACCCCCCUCCCCUCCCCCCACAGCUCACACAGAUAGUCUUUUUCUGCUUGGGUUCCAAAUUCUGAUGCAUUUUGAGAAUGCAUCAUGAAGGUGGGGUGUCAUUUUUUUCCUGAGCUUUAUUUUCUGACACCCCCAUCCCAAGCCCCAUCCUCGGGGUGCAGGAACAUCGUACAGCGUAUUGGCCGGCCAUUCGAUCUCAUGCGGCACACUGACCCUAAUGCUCUGUGUGGCCGGGGUCGGUCAUACGGCAUGAUGGCCCGCCCUUCGAUCACGGGAGUUUGCGGCACCCUAACCCUAACGCCCUGUGUGGCCAGGGUUGGUCGUGCGGCAUGGUGGCCUGCCCUUCGAUUACGAGCGCGUGCGGCACACUGACUCUAAUGCUCUGUGUGGCUGGGGCCAGUCGUACGGCAUGGUGGCCUGCCCUUUGAUCAUGGGCGCGUGUGGCACACUAACCCUAACAUCCUGUGUAGCCAGCGUGGGUCAUACAGCAUGGUGGCCUGCCCUUCGAUCACAGGCACUUGCAGCACACUAAGCCUAACGCCCUGUGUGGCCGGGGUCGGUCGUAUGACAUGAUGGCCUGCCCUUCGAUCACGGGCGCGUGCAGCACACUGACUCUAAUGCUCUGUGUGGCCGGGUUCGACCGUAUGACAUGGCGGCCUGCCCUUCGAUCACAACCACGUGCAGCACACUAACGCUAAUGUCCUGUGUGGCCGGGAUCGGUCAUCCGGCAUGGCGGCCUGCCCUUCGAUUACAGGCACGUGCAGCACACUAAGCCUAACGCCCUGUGUGGCCGGGGUCGGUCGUAUGACAUGAUGGCCUGCCCUUCGAUCACGGGCGCGUGCAGCACACUGACUCUAAUGCUCUCUGUGGCCGGGUUCGACCGUAUGACAUGGCGGCCUGCCCUUCGAUCACAGCCACGUGCAGCACACUAACGCUAAUGUCCUGUGUGGCCGGGAUCGGUCAUCCGGCAUGGCGGCCUGCCCUUCGAUUACAGGCACGUGCAGCACACUAAGCCUAACGCCCUGUGUGGCCGGGGUCGGUCGUAUGACAUGAUGGCCUGCCCUUCGAUCACGGGCGCGUGCAGCACACUGACUCUAAUGCUCUGUGUGGCCGGGUUCGACCGUAUGACAUGGCGGCCUGCCCUUCGAUCACAGCCACGUGCAGCACACUAACGCUAAUGUCCUGUGUGGCCGGGAUCGGUCAUCCGGCAUGGCGGCCUGCCCUUCGAUUACAGGCACGUGCGGCACACUAACGCUAAUAUCCUGUGUGGCCGGGAUCGGUCAUACGGCAUGAUGGCCUGCCUUUCGAUCACGGGCAUAUGCAGCACACUGACCCUAACGC
Molecule: long non-coding RNA, 2029 nt
Organism: Brienomyrus brachyistius
Lineage: Eukaryota; Metazoa; Chordata; Actinopteri; Osteoglossiformes; Mormyridae
Exons: 2
Source: RefSeq, a predicted model, not a curated record